CUGGGCAAAGAUUGCUGCGUGGGUUGCCGGGACUUCUCAAGAUGGCAGCGUGCUAACCAGAGCUCUGUGGAGUUGUGUUGCCGUCUGAGUUGCGGGUGUAAAUCUGACGUACAACCGCUGGUGGUUGGGGAUCUACCUGUAGUGUGGCUGGUGCGAUCGGAAUGCUUCGUCAAGCAGCAGAGAGCAAAAGAGACGAGAAUGUCUUGAUACACAUUUGGGACAAAGAUUGUGUCGCUCUGGAGGUUGGAUAUCGCACCUCUUGUUACAAAUCAUACACUCAGUUCUGACAAGGAGAAGCAAGGACCCUGAAGGGUUCAAAAGGGUGUGAUGGGAAGAUCUGUUUGGAUGAAGUUACCAGUAUAAAAAGCGUAGUUUACUGUCUGAUUGUAUUGAAGGAGUGAACUUCAGAUGGAGCACCAAGAGGCCUGCGAGAUGUUCAACAGAGAUAGUGAUAGUCCAGGAAAUCGUGGGAAUUAAACCAGCUGUGAAGUAUACAUCUUUUUGACUGCCCUUUUAUUUGCUCUUUUCGACGGCGAACCCACGACAACUUGGCGGCAGCCGUGGAACGACACCGAUUUACCGAGGAUCACUGCAGUCUGGAUCUGUACUGGAUUUAGUUCGAAUUGGAUUUUACCCUGGAAUAUACUGGUGCGAUUUGAAAUAUCCUGGUGCGACUCGGACAUACGGAUGCAAGUUGGAAUAAAAAGAGUGCAAAUUGGAUUAUAUUGGUGGGAGUUGAAUUUACCGCAGGAAUAUUGUGACUGGAUUGUCACUCUUGGAUGUUUACCAUGGAUAACACCUGUGGAUUAUGUUCUGUGGAUUUUGCUGAGAGAUCGGAUACGACUCUUGGAUAUAUGCGAUGGUCCGAAGAAAUAAAUCGAAGGAUGUAAGCUGUGCAGAAUGAUUACUCCAUGAUGACGGCAUCCCUGAAGCGGCGGUUUGGGGACAGAGCACUACCGGAGACAUACAGGACUCAAUUGCACACAUUUGAGGCAAAACGCAAAGGAGUCUACGACUGAGUUUGCCACCAAAGUACGCGCCUAUGUCGUGAAAACGUACCCAGCUGCACCAGAAGAGCUACAAGAGAAACUGGCCGUUGAACAUUUCCUGAAAACAUUGCCAGAUUCGCAGAUGGGAUAUAACGUGAUGGUUAAGCAACCUCGCGAUUUAAAUGAAGCUGAGCAUAUGAUCGCGGUUCACAAAAGCUUCAAAACCAAUUUCUCAAGGAAAUUAGUGCGUGCUGUGAGUUCGGUUAGCGAGGAGCAAGAACCGACCACCGAAGUACGCCAGGUGAGCGACAAACGCCUCGUGACGGAAGAGCGCUUACAGGUGUUUGGGCGUGAACUUAACCAAACCAUUACCGCUGAAGUGAUUGACAAAGUCACUGCCUCGACAACGCCUGGGCUAAAGGAAAUAAAGUCAAUGCUGAAUUGUAAGAACAACGCUCGUCAAGCCGGUGGACUGAGCCGAUGAUACAACCAGCAGAAAGUCACUUGCCAUGGUUACGGAAAGGCCGGUCAUAUCAAAAGAUUUUGCCCUGAAGCUGAAUCAUCAGGAACGUCGACCCGGGAAUCAGCCGUCUGACAAUCAGAAGGAAAACUAGGCAGGGCCGAGCCUACCAGCCAGGGUUCGGCCGGGCAAAAGGAAAAGAAACUAUGUACAGUUAUUGAUAUAAGACGUGCCGGUGAAGGUGGAUAUACAAUGCUUGCCCCUUUGGAAAUUUUUGGAAAAAACUUUCAAGCUGUUGUGGAUACGGGAGCCGAAGUAAUGUAACAAUCCCUUCAGAAAGAACUUACCGUGACUUGCCGACGGAACUCCGUCCAACUUUGCAGCAAAGUUCCAUUGCGCUGGAGAAAGCUGAAGCUGGUAAAAUGAUGAAUGUGCGCUUUGACUGGCCUGUGUAUGUUGCGCCAAUACGGGAUGACGUAUUGCUCGGAUGAGACUUCAUACACAGUAAUGACAUUGGAAUACGCACUCGCGAUGGAAUUCAAGUGGAAGGAGAAUGGAUCCCUUGUGAAUUAGUUGAAGGGAAAACGCGCGUUGCACGAGUUCAGCUGUGCAAAAAUGUCGUCGUACCUGCCUGGAGUGAAUUUACUUUGCCGUGUAAAAUCAGCGGGAGGAAUCAUGCUGACGCGAGUUGUGGCGUUGUUGAACCCGUGGAAUUCUCCUAGAAUGUUCCUGUCAUAUGUGCCAGAUCACUAGUUGACCCAAGCAACCACAUGAUACCCGUUCGGGCAGUGAAUUCUUCAAACUCGCCGGUUGAACUGAAGAAAAUUACCGAUGUUGGCGAAAUUCAUCCGGUAGACACCGUGCAAGAAAUUGCUGCGAGUGUGUUGGCAGAAAUCGAUGCCAUGACGCGAGUUACUUCCGUAUGCAGAGUAUAUCAAUAAUCUUUAAACCAUUUCAAGGCAGUACCUCUGACACCAUGUGCACAUAACUUUGAAAUCAGAAUAUCAUGGUCUAUUGUAUUAAAAGCCUUCGAAAGAUCUAAAAACAUCAAUUGUAUGUCCCAGUUUGUCUAGGCUAGAUGUUGUUUAUCAACUAAAUCAAUCAGGGCAAGUUGAGUUGAAUGUUUGGCCCUGAAUCCAUAUUGACAUAGUGCAAGUAUAUUAAAUCUAGCCAUAAACUGUUCAAGACGGUUAGCAACUAAUCGUUCCAACAAUUUUGAGAAGCAAGGCAACACAGAUAUUGGACGAUAAUUAUUGACCUGGGAAUGAUCCCCAGUUUUGAAGACUGGAAUAAUUUAGCAAUUUUAAUUUGGUCAGGAACCUCAC
This 2774-nucleotide long non-coding RNA is filed under the name Acanthaster planci (crown-of-thorns starfish). Its description in RNAcentral is "uncharacterized LOC110989789, transcript variant X1". The record is from RNAcentral. Lineage: Eukaryota; Metazoa; Echinodermata; Asteroidea; Valvatida; Acanthasteridae.